AGCCCAUGUAGCUGAGGCCAAAGUGAAAAUCCAGAACUGUUGGAUACACUUGGUAGAUGCACCAUCUGGUAUCUCUUGUUCCUUUUCUAACCAUCCUGUUACAGAAAAGCAAAUAAGACUGGCAACACGAGUGCUGGGAAGACAGACUUUGAACUGAGGAGACUGGUCCCAGGCUGAGAAGGAAAUUCAGGAACAAUAACAUGCCUGCAACAUCCAGUGGGUUUCAGAAAGAGACAUCUCUUGAAUUGCAGCUGCAAAGUGAACAGAAGUGGCUUUAAAUCCAAAAGGAUUUCCUAAAAAGCCAUCUGGAUCAGGAAGACACAGCACACCGAAGAAGACGGAAAACGGUUGGUAGGAAGCAAUGUUUAUACAACAAAAGGAUUUGUGGCAAAAUAAAGCCUAGCCAGUGCAUACCAAUCCCCAGCUUCUCGUAGGAGUUAUUGUAUGAAACGGGUGAGAAGUGGAAGUGGAGCUAAGCACAUGAGAAGCAAUGAGUUUUUCAAUUAAAGAGUACCUAGAGCAAUCACUACCCAUGUGUCAAAUAGCGUAUGUAGGAUUUUUGUUUUCGAUAUUGUUGGUUAGAUUAACUCUAGCAACUUUCCUUUGCGCUUUUUGUGCUUACACUAGGAUUUUGUCAGAUACUGUAUCAAAAGGUUUUAAGUUACCUGGCUGGAGGAUAAAAUUGAACAGACGUGGAUGGAAUGCUCUGAUCUGGUGCAUACAGGGCAACAUUUGGAAGUCAUCUCUGCUUGAGUCUAGUGCCUCCCUGGGGAUACUUGGAGAUAUUUUGGACCCUGUAUCUUCCUGUCCAUAAGGUUGUGCUACUAGUAUGUAAUACUCUUGAAUGUCCAGGUACUAUUGGAUAAUCAUGUCUAAGUGUCUAAGAAGACUACCUCCCACCCCCACAUUUUUAUAUGGCCUGGAGACUGAUGGCUUUGUUGCUAUAAUCUAGCCUUAAAUUACUACAAAAGACUAUAUUUGGGACCACAUUUCAAAUAAACAAAGCAUCUGGAAUUGAUGCAGAAUAUAGCAGGUCUCAUAUCACCUGGUGUAUCUUUUCAUAGUUGUGGUCAGCAGAAGCACUCCAACUGAAGUCCCCUUGGUAUGAAAGAGGGAGCUGCUGGAAGGGAUCCUCCUAUGAAGAACCCUCACUUUUGGGACAUGCUAUCCACAUUGGUCCAAAAAUUGCCUAACGGUGUUGACUUUCAGGGAACAUUGCAAAGCUAAUCUUUUUACCCAGGGAGCAAUGUGAUGAGGGCUGGCAUUUGUGACUGAGGCAGGGUCUUGUUGCCAUUUUCAUGAGGAGAAACUCCUGGUUUUCUUUCUUUGCAUUGUAUUUUUAACCAUGUUAAAGAUGACUAAAGCUCUGGAUGGGCAUUUUUAAAAUGGGUUAUAAAUGUACAUAAACAAAAAGCCUGAGAUGUCUCAUAGUUUUGGAUGAGAAUGCCACACUUGGGUCUGAGACACUCUGUUUAUUAAUUCAAACCUUGUUUUAACCACAAGCAUUCCUUGUGAUUACAAUUCUUAUUAAAGUAAGAAAUGAAAGAGAAAAAAGCAGUGGCCUGUUACCUUCUCCUGGAGAUAGGUGGGUCAUGAUGGAGCUUCAUAGGAGAAAUCCAACUGUCUCUUACAACCUUCCACAUA
Molecule: long non-coding RNA, 1644 nt
Organism: Mauremys mutica (yellowpond turtle)
Lineage: Eukaryota; Metazoa; Chordata; Testudines; Geoemydidae
Exons: 3
Source: RefSeq, a predicted model, not a curated record